GAUAGGCCUAGGCCGCAAUAUAGAUGUGGCCUAGGACAAUUGUGUGAGAUGAAACUGAAUGUCAGCUUUUCGAAUGCAUACAAAAUAGCAGUCCAGAUUAAGCCAACAUGUACCACAUUUGCACCUGCUGCAGUACAUAACCAGACAGCCAAGCAAAUUUUCUGUCAGCUUGAGCUAGUGCACACCACUUUGUUAAGGGUCACCUUGGCAGUACAGUGCUACAAUGUGGCAAAACAUUCAGCACGUCUUACAGGGUGCUCUAAAGUAAUCAAAUCUGCAGUAACCUAGUUUAACCUAAUUGCAAAGAUGUUAAUGAUUUGAAGCCCAGAUAGGCAUGCAGCAACUUGAAUAUGAUGACCACCACAUGAUUUGACAAUUCUGCAACUAGUGCAAAUGACCAGUGAGAAAUACUGAUAGUGUCUCUCGCAUAGCCAAGCAUCUCUGACUGCCAUGUGUUGCUUUGGCAAUUCCAUGAACACAGAUUGCAGCCUUGUGCAUUUGUGUGCUCAAUGUUCUGACAAUCUUUAGAAUGCAUUAGGUCAACAUUAGAAUGCAUUCAAUUAAGCACUAUAUAGGGUGUCCCAGCUAACUUUAGCCAGAGUUUUAAAAAUAUGCCCGUGCACUCUAAGACGGCAUGACCAAAUGCAUGUUGCCGACUAUUGUAUGGAGUAAGUCUACAUUCAAUAGCUUUGAAGCCUCCAGUAUUGCUUACCUUCUAUCUGUCAUUCUACGUAUUGCAGGAAUCUCCACCAUUUCCUCAAAAUACACUGUACAGCCAAAGGACAUCAUGCAUACUCAAGGGCAAAAUUCCAACUAUCAGACGACGAUUGCAAGGCUUCGAAGACAGCAGCUCUUAAUGGUCCGUUCCUGUGGCGAGUGGUGGCGGCAGCGGCAUAAUUGAGCGAACGAGCACAACAGCGAAAGAUGGAAGGGCGAACACGGAGUGCGAGAUGGAAGACGCAAGCCGCGAAUGCGGAGACCAAUGAGAGUGGCCCCUUCAGUGAUGUGCACGCAAGAAACUGGUGUCGUGUGGACCCACCACACUGCUCGUUUCGUACUAUCGUCUGCUCACGUCAGCUCUCGCUCGCGCUUAAUUGUUCGGUUUGCUUGGUUUGAUAUCAUUUACACUUGUUUCAAUUGUCGUGGCUUGCAACUUUUGUAAUCUGAUUGUGUACGCAAUGCGAAUUGUUUAGUACUUUCUGGAAACCACGCGGGCACCAGCGAUUACACUGGAACCUUCGACGAGUCAUGUAUAAAAGCCAACACGCUUGACCUGCAGAUCAGAUUUUUGAUGAUUGUUGACUCUACUACAUGUAUUAUGUGCCUCAACAUAUUGCGAAAUGAAAACAAGGAUAGAGCUGCGCUCAAAUUUCGCAUUAGGGAGUAUCGUAAUUGUCGGUGAACUUUUUUUUUUUCUCAGGACAAAUAUUUUUUUACGCUUUUGUUUUUAAUUUGUGACCGCCAUCAGAUAACGACCGCGGGCACUAAGCACGGUGAGCCAUGGUGUUCAAGAUUUACGGCGCCGCGCGAUGCAACACACACAAAUCUCGGACGCCGUAAGUUACGGUGAUGCAUUAUCGGUGAGAUCUGCACCGCACGCACUAGCACUCAUAAUUGUGCUAUUAUCAUAGAGAAAGAAAUUCAACAAGAGGGGGCACUCGGCAAAAACUGGCAACAGGAAACAUGUCACGGCUAGUGUUAAUCCCAUCCGUUAGUUAAUUUGAGCACCAUAAAAAAAAAAUAAUGUGAAAUGAACUUACAGACAUUUUAUUUUGAUUCUUUCCAGCUAAAACUAAAAAGUUUUGUUUAUCAAUAAACUUAUACUCUGUGACUUAUUUUUCUUGCAUUACCUAGCAACAUGGAGGAAGGAAAGCUUUUCCUUCCUCCAUGCCUAGCAACAAGCUAACGGCACGCCAGGUGCAACAGGUGCAUGCGUCAUGCGCCAGAUAGGCCACCGAAGCCAGCGAGGCCAGUUGCGCAUGUGAAGUUCACCUGUUCGGCGACCAGUCUCUUUUGGAUAUUGCGUGUUUGUUGGGCUCCCGGCAUAUUCUUGCAUUUCUUCUGCACUUCGAUACGGCACCACUGCACUAUUGGACUACAACAAGGUGAGAAAUUUUGUUCGACAGUCUGUGACGCAUUUCAAGCAAUUCUGGCUUUUACGGCACAUAACCGAGACUUGCGAUGCAGUUAGCGAAAAACAGCUAGGCCAUCUUGGCGUAGUUGAGUUAAUGACUCGUACUGGGUGAUGGUCGCGACACUUUCUAUGAGCCCCAACAUUAUUAUAACUUAUUUUGGUAGGUUUCGGGCAUGCUCGCCGCACCCGGCUUUGCGACGCAAUUAGCAAAAAGCACCUCGGCCAUGUGAGGCAGUUUUGCCUGUACUGAAUCUUACCGAACAAGUUUUGGCACUUUCCCUGGCCCACAACAUUAUUGUAACUAAUUUCGUUACUUUUGGGGGUACUUUUCAUGCACAGUGGCCUCGCCCGGCAUUGUGAAGCAGUUAGUGAAAAGCAGCUCGGCUCUGUGAUGCAGUUAGUUUUGCAGUGUAGUGAUCUUACCGGGUCAAGUUUGGUGCUUUCCCUGACCCCGAACAUUAUUCUAACUGAUUUCCUUACUUUUAGGGGUACUUUUCAAGCACAGUGGCUGCGCCCGGCGUUGUGAUGCAGUUAGCAAAAAAGUAUGCAGAUCCCACACACAGUGGGAAUCAAUGCGAUGCCGUCCGGUGGAGUUUCGUACGGGAACUACUGCUUUUUACUUCGUGCCACAACGUUGGAUGAACGCACAAAAACCCGAGAACUAGCAUUUAUAUAGAGCAAAAUAAACAUUUACUCAUUUACAAAGUGUUUUGCGUCUA
Dermacentor andersoni is the source of this 2853-nucleotide long non-coding RNA. RefSeq lists it as uncharacterized. The record is from RefSeq and is a predicted model, not a curated record. Lineage: Eukaryota; Metazoa; Arthropoda; Arachnida; Ixodida; Ixodidae.